UACGUAGGGGGCUAGCGUUAUCCGGAAUUACUGGGCGUAAAGGGUGCGUAGGUGGUUUCUUAAGUCAGAGGUGAAAGGCUACGGCUCAACCGUAGUAAGCCUUUGAAACUGGGAAACUUGAGUGCGGGAGAGGAGAGUGGAAUUCCUAGUGUAGCGGUGAAAUGCGUAGAUAUUAGGAGGAACACCAGUUGCGAAGGCGGCUCUCUGGACUGUAACUGACACUGAGGCACGAAAGCGUGGGGAGCAAACAGG
Molecule: ribosomal RNA, 252 nt
Filed under: uncultured bacterium
Lineage: Bacteria
Description: partial 16S ribosomal RNA
Rfam family: Bacterial small subunit ribosomal RNA
Source: RNAcentral